UUGAGCCGUGUGAGGGGAAACUCUCAUGCACGGUUCUUAGAGGGGAAAGGGAUAGUAAUAUCCCUGACCUACUCGAC
Molecule: non-coding RNA, 77 nt
Organism: Peptoniphilus sp. BV3C26
Lineage: Bacteria; Bacillati; Bacillota; Tissierellia; Tissierellales; Peptoniphilaceae
Source: Rfam